UCGCCGCAGCCCCCCUCGCUCCCCCCCGGACUUCGGAAGUGCACGUAAUGCGACUUGACUCCUAGGAAGUUAAAGAGCAGAGCAACUUCAUUUUGUGCAGGCGCACAGGUGUGGGGACGAAGGCAGAGAGAAUCCUUCAAGAAGGGCACAGGGACUCGAACUGGCAUUGGAGUGUGGCCGAGUUUAGAUGCGUGAAGGGGAGGAGCCACAGCAACCUACAUGAGGCUUUUGGCUGCAGAAAGAUGCAUUUGGGCAUGAGCCUCUGACGUGGAAAUAAGCGCUUUGGAGCUCAGCCUCGCCAGGGGGAAUGAAGUCACGGGUGGCGUGGCGGCAGAAAAAUAACGUGGUUUGAUGCAAUGGCCCAACACAAUAGGAGCUAAUGAAUAGAGCGUGUUGCACUCCAGAGACUGCCGUUCAAUUACUGGUGGUGCCAAUCAAGUCAGAAAUAUUAACCAUGGUAACCGCAGACGUCCAGCUCUAUGGCCGCGCGGGGAAGGCAGCUGCUCCGGGAAGCCCCAGGUCCCGGGAGGGACAAAGCACCACCGAGCCAUGAAUGGCUCCUUCCCAGAGCCUCGUGGGGCAUUGGGCAAGAGACGAAAGAUCCAAUACUAACAUCUGUGCUGUAAUUUUCCGUGACUGCAUCCGGGUGACCGAAAGCAUGACUACUCUUUUCUGGAUCAAAACGUCUUUCAGGCUUGAUCCUGACCUCUUUGGACAAACACAGCUUAGGUAAGAGUCUAAACUCUUCUUUUGGACGUUGAGCAAAACUGGAAAUUUUGUCAGUGGGAAACAACCAAAGUUCAUGGCCAAAUAGCAGUGUGUUUGCUUAACCUUGGGGAAAAUGAUUUUUUUUUUUAAGUUACAAAACUGGAUGCAAUUGUAACCCUUCCCCCCAACUAAAAAGGCAACAGAAAACAUGAAGGCUGAAAUGAGAAAACAUUGUGUGUGUGUGUGUGUGUGUGUGUGUGUGUGUGUGUGUGUUGUCAAAAGACAGAAUCAGAACAAAUUCAGUUCAAAGAUCCGAACUGUCUUUU
Molecule: long non-coding RNA, 1034 nt
Filed under: Microcebus murinus (gray mouse lemur)
Lineage: Eukaryota; Metazoa; Chordata; Mammalia; Primates; Cheirogaleidae
Description: lncRNA (ENSMICG00000048263.1)
Source: RNAcentral